AGUGAACGCUGGCGGUAGGCCUAACACAUGCAAGUCGAACGGCAGCACAGUAAGAGCUUGCUCUUACGGGUGGCGAGUGGCGGACGGGUGAGGAAUACAUCGGAAUCUACUUUUUCGUGGGGGAUAACGUAGGGAAACUUACGCUAAUACCGCAUACGACCUACGGGUGAAAGCAGGGGAUCUUCGGACCUUGCGCGAUUGAAUGAGCUGAUGUCGGAUUAGCUAGUUGGCGGGGUAAAGGCCCACCAAGGCGACGAUCCGUAGCUGGUCUGAGAGGAUGAUCAGCCACACUGGAACUGAGACACGGUCCAGACUCCUACGGGAGGCAGCAGUGGGGAAUAUUGGACAAUGGGCGCAAGCCUGAUCCAGCCAUACCGCGUGGGUGAAGAAGGCCUUCGGGUUGUAAAGCCCUUUUGCUGGGAAAGAAAAGCAGCAGGUUAAUACCCCGCUGUUCUGACGGUACCCAAAGAAUAAGCACCGGCUAACUUCGUG
RNAcentral lists this ribosomal RNA (492 nucleotides) under uncultured bacterium. RNAcentral's name for it is "partial 16S ribosomal RNA". It matches the Rfam family "Bacterial small subunit ribosomal RNA", at positions 29 to 507 of the family's 1533-position model. The record is from RNAcentral.